Long non-coding RNA from Venturia canescens, 322 nucleotides. RefSeq lists it as uncharacterized. Lineage: Eukaryota; Metazoa; Arthropoda; Insecta; Hymenoptera; Ichneumonidae. The transcript is spliced from 2 exons. The record is from RefSeq and is a predicted model, not a curated record.
GUUGGAAGAAGUGUUGCUUGCACGCCAGGAAACGAUUUCCUGUUCAGACUGUACGAAAAAAAUACGAAAAGCAAAAAAAAGGAUGAAUUCUGGUUUUGCUGCCCGUUGCCUGCACCAAAGUCCGGUGACAUGGUAAAAACAGCGAGUACGGUAAACCACCCGUCAUAGGUAAACCGUUGACCUAGUAUAUGGGUGCGAAAGGUUCAGAAUGAAAUGUGUGCCUUCCGCGCUGUUUCGACUCGUACAUCAAACAAGUCGGGUAGAGAGCCAACCAAUGGUAAGGAGCCGCUUUUUUUUUUCUUUUUUUGUUUUUCGUUCACCG